This 24-nucleotide non-coding RNA is filed under the name Arabidopsis thaliana (thale cress). The record is from RNAcentral. Lineage: Eukaryota; Viridiplantae; Streptophyta; Magnoliopsida; Brassicales; Brassicaceae.
UGAGCAGAUAGGCUUCCUGGUGAU